This is a long non-coding RNA of Oncorhynchus kisutch (coho salmon), 602 nucleotides long. RefSeq lists it as uncharacterized. The record is from RefSeq and is a predicted model, not a curated record. The transcript is spliced from 2 exons. NCBI's taxonomy places the organism in Eukaryota, Metazoa, Chordata, Actinopteri, Salmoniformes, Salmonidae.
AAACCACAUAAAUCACCCAUGUUACACCCUGGCCUAACCAAAAUAAUAAAGAGAACACAGAAUACUAAGACCAGGGCGUGACAUAUUUGGACUUUUGCUUUACAUUAUGGAGGUACCGUAGUACUCUGAAGAGCAUGGAGCUGAGUGAGAUUGGAGGAGUAGCUAAGGUGGUGAAGAGUCGUAUCUUCUCUGUUGCCUUCCACCCGUGUAGCAGUCGUCUGCUGAUGGCUGCUGAGGACAAGUUGGGUGGAGUUGGGCUGUGGAACUUUGAGCGUACUCUCUCAGUAUCUCACGCAGCCACACAGCUUUGUUUUUGUCAAUUUCCAGGACUUUUUGGAGAGUAAAAAUGUGUUUAUUCAAAAUCCUAACUUUAACCUUAACCCGAAACCUUGUCAGGACAUUCUGGUGACUUAUCAGAACAUUGUGGUCCUGAUUAAGGCAGUAUCACAUUCGCCUAUGAUUGAGAGUCCCAUAGGGUGGCGCAUAUUUGUCCCAGUGUCGUCUGGGUUUCGUCAUUGGUUGUUUUUUUAUAUUGUAUGUUUUAUCUCCAAGACACUUUUGCUAUUGUUUUGUAAGUCAAUAAAGUUAUAGCUGAAGUUGCA